UUUUUUUGAGAGGAUUAAUAUUCAACAGCAUAGUGAUUGCUCAAAGACAAAAACAUUAUUUUAAGUUCAUUAGACCACAUUCAUUCUGUGUCCAAAACCUAUGCUGUGUCAACUAUUUAAUCACAAUCCAAAUUUAGAGCUGAAUCCAGCUUGAAUGUUGUGUCCAUACUUGCCCCAACCGUUCAGGGUUCAACCUAUGCGGUCGUAUAAAGCUGUGCCCUGCGGAGCAUCUGG
This 234-nucleotide long non-coding RNA is filed under the name Mytilus galloprovincialis (Mediterranean mussel). Lineage: Eukaryota; Metazoa; Mollusca; Bivalvia; Mytilida; Mytilidae. The record is from RNAcentral.